CCUGAUGCAGCCAUGCCGCGUGAGUGAAGAAGGUCUUCGGAUCGUAAAGCUCUGUUAUUGGGGAAGAAAGGCUGGGGCGAAUACCUUGCUGUCUUGACGUUACCGAUCCAAUAAGCCCGGCAUAAAUUCGUGCCCGCAGCCGCGAUAAUAA
This 151-nucleotide ribosomal RNA is filed under the name uncultured bacterium. RNAcentral's name for it is "partial 16S ribosomal RNA". It matches the Rfam family "Bacterial small subunit ribosomal RNA", at positions 382 to 526 of the family's 1533-position model. The record is from RNAcentral.